Molecule: signal recognition particle RNA, 298 nt
Filed under: Cebus imitator (Panamanian white-faced capuchin)
Lineage: Eukaryota; Metazoa; Chordata; Mammalia; Primates; Cebidae
Description: Metazoan signal recognition particle RNA (ENSCCAG00000004919.1)
Rfam family: Metazoan signal recognition particle RNA
About the family: The signal recognition particle (SRP) is a universally conserved ribonucleoprotein. It is involved in the co-translational targeting of proteins to membranes.
Source: RNAcentral
GCCGGGCACGGUGGCACAUGUCUGUAGUCCCAGCUAUUCAGGAGGCUGAGGUGGGAGGAUCACUUGAGCCCAGGAGUUCUGGACUGUAGUGUGCUAUGCCCAUCAGGUGCUUGAACUAAGUUCAGCAUCAAUAUGGUGACUUCCUGGGAGCGGGGAACCACCAGGUUGCCUAAGGAGGGGUGAACUGGUCCAGGUUGGAAGCAGAGCAGGUCAAAACUCCCAUGCUGAUCAGUAGUGGGAUCAUGCCUGUGAAUAGCCACUUCACUCCAGCCUGGGCAACACAGCGAGACCCUGUUUU